Molecule: transfer RNA, 74 nt
Filed under: Mustelus manazo (starspotted smooth-hound)
Lineage: Eukaryota; Metazoa; Chordata; Chondrichthyes; Carcharhiniformes; Triakidae
Also listed under: 3 other names
Description: tRNA-Lys
Rfam family: tRNA
About the family: Transfer RNA (tRNA) molecules are approximately 80 nucleotides in length. Their secondary structure includes four short double-helical elements and three loops (D, anti-codon, and T loops). Further hydrogen bonds mediate the characteristic L-shaped molecular structure. tRNAs have two regions of fundamental functional importance: the anti-codon, which is responsible for specific mRNA codon recognition, and the 3' end, to which the tRNAs corresponding amino acid is attached (by aminoacyl-tRNA synthetases). tRNAs cope with the degeneracy of the genetic code in two manners: having more than one tRNA (with a specific anti-codon) for a particular amino acid; and 'wobble' base-pairing, i.e. permitting non-standard base-pairing at the 3rd anti-codon position.
Source: RNAcentral
CAUUAAGAAGCUAAACUGGGUCUAGCAUUAGCCUUUUAAGCUAACUAUUGGUGAUUCCCUACCACCCUUAAUGA